Long non-coding RNA from Scylla paramamosain (green mud crab), 1405 nucleotides. RefSeq lists it as uncharacterized. The record is from RefSeq and is a predicted model, not a curated record. The transcript is spliced from 5 exons. NCBI's taxonomy places the organism in Eukaryota, Metazoa, Arthropoda, Malacostraca, Decapoda, Portunidae.
CGCCCACUACUUCCUGAUUUAUUUCCACCUAAAUAUUUUCACGCGCCUCUGCACCUCAACCUGCCUUCCACCACACACAGUGUGUGUGUGUGUGUGUGUGUGACUAGUACUACAAAAGGACUAUUGACAGCGGUGUUUGGAAGCAGCAACGUGGAGGCGGUGGCGGAGAUAAUCAUAAUUGUUGGCGCGGGACAGGAGGCCAGUGUGGAGGGCGUGUACAGAAGCAGACGGCACUAGUGGUUAAGCUGUGCGCGUUCAGAGUGUUGGCGAGUCAAUGAGGAUAGUAUGGAGGCCUUCAGUGUCGUUAGAGAGAAGGUGCUUCGCCUCGUGUCUCGUGUUCAUGGAGUGGGUCGGUGGUGGCGAGGGUGGCGGGUGGUGGGCAUGCGCGAUCACGGCUGUGAGCUGAGAGCCUCUCAGAGUAUAGGCGACUGGAAUCCCUAAGCCAGUGAGGGAGAGAAGGUUCAUGUUAUAGGAUUUAUUAAUAUUGAUGUUGUUUUGUUUGGUUCUGUCAGGAUUUGCCUGCUACUUAUUUUCCUUGUGGUGCAGUGAAGUGAAUGGCGUGUGGCGGUGUGGUGAAGUGUGGCGUGUCCCUCGUUCUGGUGCUGAGACACACACCAAGGGUCGAUAAUGGCGAUGCGAGGAAGGAAAACCUGUGUUAAGUUCUGAGGUGCGGUGACAAAAUUACUGUGUUGUGAGUGAAUAAAAUUCGUUCCGUAAGCCGCGGCCGCAUGUCACUGUGAUGUUCUGCUGUUACGUUGUUGUUGCCGUGAUCCAGUUACACAGUGAAAGAGAUCGUCGUGAUCCCAGUGCAGCACUGUAAUGCCGUGCUGCCGGGAGUGUUGCCGUGCCGCCUUGCUGCCAGGAAGUCUUGUCGUGUGCUGGCAAGUGUUGCCGCACUGCCGGCAGGAGUAAGUGGACCUGCUGGUGGACUACAGGCUGGACACAAGCACUGACAAGCAGUACAGGGCAUUUCAUGAUGGCUUCUGCAGGGUGUGUGACGGUACUGUGCUCAGACAUUUCCAGCCAAUGGAACUUAUGGACUUGGUCACCAGCAAUGAAAAUUAUUUCUGGACUGAGUUGGAAAAGAAUACCAUCCAGUCACUCGCACGUGUUGAUAAGUCUUUCGCGAGCUCUCGCUGGAACAGAAAAUGUUUUCAAGUUUCUCACGGGGACUGACCAGGUUCUUCUACUACUAGUGUCCAGUUGAAGGACCGCAGUCGUAUUGGACCUGGUCAAAUUAUUCGAAUUGAAGGAUGUUCGAAUCACGAGGCCUGCACCACACCUGCGAGAGGAGGAUCUCCCAAGGCUGUCUCCCAAUGUCACCUUUUCCUGUCUCCGUCGCUCCAUCUUAGCAUACCUUGCUUGCUCAUCCAGUUGCUGUCUGCAAGGUGGAGAAUGUUUACAC